AUAAUUUUUGAAUCGUUGGAGAACCUAAUUGUCAAUAUAUUGAGAAUUGGACUAAUUUGUAAUUGUUACAAAUUAGUAGUAUUAAAGUGUAAAUGUUACAAAAGAGGAUUUACUAAUAAUUAGUAAAUUAUGAGAGAAUUUAUGUGCAAAUGUUGUAUUAUUAAUUUGAUAUGAUCAAAUUGAGAUAAAGUUCAACUCGUUCCAGGAAUAAGGGUGGAAUAAUAAUUUCAGAUUUAUACCGGGUUAUACUAGCUUAUUCCAGAUACCAGAGAACUACUAUUUUGGGGUAUGAAAAACAG
This 299-nucleotide long non-coding RNA is filed under the name Ananas comosus (pineapple). RNAcentral describes it as "long non-coding RNA (ACOM_LNC023207)". The record is from RNAcentral. Lineage: Eukaryota; Viridiplantae; Streptophyta; Magnoliopsida; Poales; Bromeliaceae.